ACAUCCUUCGAGCUUUACCUUCUCGCCUCUGCUCGCUUUUAACCGAUUCCUCAACUUUCGAUUUCUUUGUAUAGUCUCGAUGUGGCGAGAGAGAGAGGAGAGAGAGAAAGUGAGAGAGAGAGAGCGAGGAUGGUAUAUCGAUUGCCGUGGCACGGCUGCGAUCGAUGUUUAUGUGGUGGACCUUUGGGCUAUUUGAGCAUUUUGUAGACAUUCGACUAGCUCGUGCUGGUUUCUUUAACAAUUGGUUUGCGUGCAUCUCAGCAUGGUAUGGGAAGCCUUUGUGCACGCUAGGGUUGGGGAUGCUCCGCGUUGUUUGAUUGGAUCUAAUCGUGUUUGGUUGGAGAAUAUUUGAUAGAUUGAUUGGUUCAUGACAUCAAAUGCCGACUUAUCGACCUUGUUGUUGGUUAUACGUUACGAUCAAUCAUUGAAUUGUGGUGAGCAUGCCGGAAUUGACGGGUUUACUAGCGUCCAGGAUAGAACAACUUCUGUUUCCUGUUUUGUUUCGGGAGGAGUACUCUAACGCUCAUGAUUGGGGUCCUCUUUCUUUAAUUCUACCUCUGCGGCGGUCUAUUGUUCACUCCGAAUAGUGAUUGAUGACAUUCUUCUUGAUUUGUUUUCCGACUUCGUCAGUUUCUCUCAGACAUGCACAUAUUAUCCAGUCUGGAUGAUGUUAGGUAUUGGCAGAUUCUCUGUACUUGAGAUCAUUCGACGUUGUUGCGGAGUUCGUGCCCACUGCCGAAACUGAACAGAUUAAAUGUUCAGUAAACGAAGGAACGAAAGCCUUUGUAUUAUGCUUCCCUGAGAGGUUUCUCAGUAGACCUGUAAUUGCCACUCUCAAUUUUAAACCUAGGGGCACAUCAUUGAAAUCAGUCAUGACCUCUCAUUAGGUGGAACAAUGGUGUUUGCCUAACACCUUAUCACAUCUUUCGAAAGAGAUUUACGCACUCAAUACACAACCGAAUUUUUAAUCGCUAACUUUGCUCUUUGUUCAUAGAUGAAAUCUAUUUUCCUCUCAGUAGAUUUGUUAACCACCGUGUUAACCGAGGUCGUAAAAUUACGAUUUAAGGAAGUGUUUCAAGCACUGUGCAUUGUAAACAG
RNAcentral lists this long non-coding RNA (1098 nucleotides) under Physcomitrium patens. RNAcentral describes it as "long non-coding RNA (PPAT_LNC008945)". Lineage: Eukaryota; Viridiplantae; Streptophyta; Bryopsida; Funariales; Funariaceae. The record is from RNAcentral.